This 83-nucleotide microRNA precursor is filed under the name Loxodonta africana (African savanna elephant). RNAcentral describes it as "miRNA (ENSLAFG00000032249.1)". The record is from RNAcentral. Lineage: Eukaryota; Metazoa; Chordata; Mammalia; Proboscidea; Elephantidae.
UCAGCUGAGAAUCUCGUUAAACUGCAGAUUCUGAUUCUGGGCGGCGCUGAGAUACCGCAUUUCUAACAAGUUCCCAGGUGAUG